This 332-nucleotide unclassified non-coding RNA is filed under the name soil metagenome. RNAcentral describes it as "partial contains 5.8S ribosomal RNA, internal transcribed spacer 2, and large subunit ribosomal RNA". The stretch from base 1 to 120 matches the Rfam family "5.8S ribosomal RNA", at positions 35 to 154 of the family's 154-position model. The record is from RNAcentral.
GAUGAAGAACGUAGCAAAAUGCGAUAAGUAAUGUGAAUUGCAGAAUUCAGUGAAUCAUCGAAUCUUUGAACGCACAUUGCGCCCGCCAGUAUUCUGGCGGGCAUGCCUGUUCGAGCGUCAUUUCAACCCUCAAGCACAGCUUGGUGUUGGGACUCGCGUUAAUUCGUGUUCCUCAAAUUGAUUGGCGGUCACGUCGAGCUUCCAUAGCGUAGUAGUAAAACCCUCGUUACUGGUAAUCGUCGCGGCCACGCCGUUAAACCCCAACUUCUGAAUGUUGACCUCGGAUCAGGUAGGAAUACCCGCUGAACUUAAGCAUAUCAAUAAGCGGAGGA